This 228-nucleotide ribosomal RNA is filed under the name uncultured bacterium. RNAcentral describes it as "partial 16S ribosomal RNA". It matches the Rfam family "Bacterial small subunit ribosomal RNA", at positions 568 to 795 of the family's 1533-position model. The record is from RNAcentral.
UGUGUAGGUGGUUGUAUUAGUCUUUUGUUAAAGACCGGGGCUCAACCCCGGGAAUGCGAAGGAAACGGUACGACUAGAGGAUGUGAGAGGUGUGCGGAACUCAUGGUGUAGGGGUGAAAUCCGUUGAUAUCAUGGGGAACACCAAAGGCGAAGGCAGCACACUGGCACAUUCCUGACACUGAGACACGAAAGCGUGGGUAGCGAACAGGAUUAGAUACCCUGGUAGUC